This 326-nucleotide small nuclear RNA is filed under the name Erinaceus europaeus (western European hedgehog). Its description in RNAcentral is "7SK RNA". It matches the Rfam family "7SK RNA". From Rfam's summary of the family: 7SK was discovered as an abundant small nuclear RNA in the mid-70s but a possible function has only recently been suggested. Lineage: Eukaryota; Metazoa; Chordata; Mammalia; Eulipotyphla; Erinaceidae. The record is from Rfam by way of RNAcentral.
GUAUGUGAGAUCAAUCUGGCUUCAACAUCUACCACCCUAUUGAUAGCCCAGUUUGAUUCAACUAAUCUGGCUGGCUAGGAGGGUGUCCCUUUCUUCUCUCACCUUUGUGUGUGUGUGCCUCCUGAGGCUGCACACUCAGUCAAAGAGGGUAACCUUCCCUGAAUAAAGACAGACCAGUGUUCUGUCAAGGAUAUAUGAGUAGCUACACUCCCCUGCUAGAACCUCCAAACAAGCUCUCUUUGGAUGAGUAUGUUUGAUUCCUUAGGAUGUAUUUUCCAAGAGAGGAAUUUAUGGGUCAUAGGGUAGGUCCAUUUCUACUUUUCUGA